UUGAACGCUGGCGGCAGGCCUAACACAUGCAAGUCGAGCGGAUGAAGGGAGCUUGCUCCUGGAUUCAGCGGCGGACGGGUGAGUAAUGCCUAGGAAUCUGCCUGGUUGUGGGGGAUAACGUCCGGAAACGGGCGCUAAUACCGCAUACGUCCUGAGGGAGAAAGUGGGGGAUCUUCGGACCUCACGCUAUCAGAUGAGCCUAGGUCGGAUUAGCUAGUUGGUGGGGUAAAGGCUUACCAAGGCGACGAUCCGUAACUGGUCUGAGAGGAUGAUCAGUCACACUGGAACUGAGACACGGUCCAGACUCCUACGGGAGGCAGCAGUGGGGAAUAUUGGACAAUGGGCGAAAGCCUGAUCCAGCCAUGCCGCGUGUGUGAAGAAGGUCUUCGGAUUGUAAAGCACUUUAAGUUGGGAGGAAGGGCAGUAAGUUAAUACCUUGCUGUUUUGACGUUACCAACAGAAUAAGCACCGGCUAACUUCGUG
RNAcentral lists this ribosomal RNA (483 nucleotides) under uncultured bacterium. RNAcentral describes it as "partial 16S ribosomal RNA". It matches the Rfam family "Bacterial small subunit ribosomal RNA", at positions 30 to 507 of the family's 1533-position model. The record is from RNAcentral.